AUUGAACGCUGGCGGAAUGCUUUACACAUGCAAGUCGAACGGCAGCACGGGGGCAACCCUGGUGGCGAGUGGCGAACGGGUGAGUAAUACAUCGGAACGUGCCCAGUCGUGGGGGAGUAACGUAGCGAAAGCUACGCUAAUACCGCAUACGAACUCUGGUUGAAAGCGGGGACUCGCAAGAGCCUCGCGCGAUUGGAGCGGCCGAUGGCAGAUUAGGUAGUUGGUGGGGAAAGGCUCACCAAGCCGACGAUCUGUAGCUGGUCUGAGAGGACGACCAGCCACACUGGGACUGAGACACGGCCCAGACUCCUACGGGAGGC
This 320-nucleotide ribosomal RNA is filed under the name uncultured bacterium. Its description in RNAcentral is "bacterial SSU rRNA". It matches the Rfam family "Bacterial small subunit ribosomal RNA", at positions 29 to 349 of the family's 1533-position model. The record is from RNAcentral.